This 26818-nucleotide long non-coding RNA is filed under the name Jatropha curcas. Its description in RNAcentral is "long non-coding RNA (JCUR_LNC001932)". The record is from RNAcentral. Lineage: Eukaryota; Viridiplantae; Streptophyta; Magnoliopsida; Malpighiales; Euphorbiaceae.
UCCAGUCAUUGUUGCAAGAUGAAGCGCUGUUUCACCAAAACCUGUAACCUCUUUGUGCACUGCAUCUGGGCAAAGAUUAACGAAGGUUUUCACUGCAUUGAAAUCACCUUUAUCCAUAGCCUCUCGUAAUGGCUGAAACUGAAGGUACUCGUCCCUCUCUGUUCCUGUCAUAUUUUAUCAACUUAUUAUACCUCUCGUUCCAUUAAACACUUUUUGAUUUUUAAUUAAGAAAAUAUUAAAUCAUCCUAGUUCUGGAAAGGAAGACUUUUUUUGGCUGAAAGAAUGUAUUAGGAAAAUAUCAAAUGAUAUUUUUUUUUUCCAAGUCUACGUCAAAUUUUGUAUUUUUUUUUUUUUAAUUUGAAAUAUAUUUUAACAUUUUCCUUCAUUUUUUUUUCAUCCAAUAUUUUUUUCCUCUCCUUCCAAACAAAGCCUAAAACUCUAACUUCUCUUCCAUUUUAUUCCCAUUGUCUCUUUUGCUUCACUUUAAUGAACUUUUCCUCACCCCCAUCGAAACUAGAGCCCAAUUUCAAGUCAGUAUGGAUAUGUUUGGAUAAGGUUAAUUAAUCAAUUGAGUUUGAGCAAUUGUUUGAUAAAGCCCUUUUCUACAUAUAAAAAUUAAAAAAUAUUACCUUCAUCUACCGAUUCUGUCUGUGAUUCCACUUCCGAUGACGCCAAUUCAGUUUCUUGUUCCUGUGUUUGGUCUUUUGAUGACUUUCUCUUAUUCAUUUUGGCUAAAGUUUUCCAGCAAACUCUAGCAGAAUCAAUGUAUCUUAUUUGGGAAAGUUUGUCUGGUAGGCAUGAAAUUUGAAUUGCAUGUAAAGCAGCUGCAUUCUUCUUUCUCCAACCAUUAAAUUCACCUCUAUCCUCCUUCUCACUAGGACGUUUAGUGGUUGCUUCAACAAUAUCCCAAAGGUCGUUGGCCAACAAAUAGUUCUUCAUGCAAGUACUCCAAUUUGCAUAAUUGGAGUCUCCUAGAAAUUCAGGAACAAUAUUUGAUGAUGCCAUGCUCAAAUCUGUCAAUUAUGCAAAGCAAUGUUAAAAGGUUAGAUUAAAAGAUGCUGAUCUACGAAACAAGCCAAUUACCUUUUUUGGCCAGAGUGAAUAGGUCAGAAUUAUUAUCUCAAAAAGACAGUAUUUUUCAUUGGUUUGGUCAUGGGUGGGUCCAUAAUCCAGUCAAAAAAUUAGCUUAACUGUUUAAUGCCCGAAGCAAGAAUUAGAUGCAUGCUUGAGUUCACACGUCAUUGUAUGUUAACAACACUAAUGUUGUCUAAGCUUCAUUUUACAUUGUCUGAAAAAAGAUUAAUAAUAAACAAGUUCAAAAACUUCAAAGUUUAGACAUAAUAAUGGAAUCAAAAGCUUAGAUGCCUGUGUUCCGAAGAAUGUUGUAUGCAGAAAAUAACAGGAAGAAGUAUAUAAAAGAGAGAGGAGAAAAAGAAGAGACGUAUAGUGUGCAGAAAGAACUUACACUAAAUGCAAUAAACUUGGAAGGAUAAGCAGUUGUAAUGGGUUUUAGCAGUGUAAUUCUUCCAACCGAACUCGUUAAAGCUGUAAGCUCAAGUGCUUGGGAAUAACAAUUAUUGACGCAUAUGAUCCCACCAAAAAGGAAAAGUUCAUUGGAAUUAAAUGCUUUCACUUUUCUUCUUUCCUUUCUUUCUUUCUUUUUGUUCUUCGCUUUUUGUGUUCCAUCAAUUGGAGGAUUACAAAUAAUUGAUUGACAUCUAUUCACCACGUACUGAACCAAAGUGUGCACUAAUUCAUCUUUCGCUUUAUUACUGUUUUUUUUUCAGACUUUUUUGCUUCUCUUAUCUUUUCAUAUACAAUUAAUUGAUUGAUUCGUGUCCACUUUUGUUGCUAUUUCUUUUUUUCUUUUGAGUGUACGUAUCUCAUCCAUGAGAUUGGUAAUGGAGUCAUUAUUGGUUUUAAAUGGAAUAAAAUGUGCAAUGGAAUCGAUAUUAUAAUAUUUUUAACGAACCGAAUCAAGUUUAAAUGAUUAAAGUAAUAAAUAAUUAAUUUGAAAUAAUAUCUAUUAUCAAAUCUUUCACAAGUAAAAUUAGAAAUUUUUUAUUCAUUAGAUUGUCGUAAUUCAUAAAUCGUCUAAUUGUAGUCUUUAACAAUAUCCUUACCGAUUGACAAUGAAAAAAAUAUAAAAUUAUUUUUAGAGAAUUUGAAAAGCAAAAAGUAUUUUGAAUUCUAACUCAAAAUACGCUUAUAUUAUUUUGGUGGCUAUAAAAGUCAAGUCUACACUCCAUAUAAGAGACUAUAUAUAGAGGAAUGCGGGAAGUACUCAUAAUAUAUCCUAGUUAGAAAUUAUUAAUUUAAUCAAUUAAAUAAAUAAAUUAUAAUUAAUUCACCUUUUAAAAUAUCUUAUAUUUAAACCCAAUAAGUUUUAGAAACGUUUAUUCUGAGUCCCUAUUUAAUAUUUUAGAUCAAAAUUAUAUUUUUUAUAAAAUUUUACUUAAAACUUAUUUUUUUUCUCAUUUUUAAUUUUUCAUAUCAAUCGUUAUACAUGUGCCCCAUUACGUUCCAAAUAUAAUUAAUUAAAUUUAUAUUUGAAAGUUAAAAGUGAUAUCUAGCACCAUAAUAAGACUAUCCAAAUAUUUGAAAAGUCUACAGUAGGUUGACUUAACCUUUUAGUGAAUGAUCUCUCAAUAUAUUUAAGAUCUAUUCAUCAAUAAUAUUUUGAUUUAUUUCAUUUAAGCAUGGAACAUGUCAGGUAAGUUAAAUUAUAUUAAUUCUUUUAGCAAUAGUUAUUGAUUCAUUGAAUAAGAUUUCAAAUCCAAUUUACUAAUUUGAUUUCAUCUUGUGCAAGGAUUUCAUGAUCAAUACUGUUGAAGCGUGUCUUUAUGCCCUUGCCUGAUCCGAUGAGGAUACGAGGAUAUUGAAUGAAGGGAUAAUGCUAUCUAGAAGUCUUUUAAUCGAAGGAUUUAAAUUAAACCGAUUUUAAGUUUUUGGUUGGGUCAGAGUUGCGUCACGCAGCUAAGCAGGUGCGUGACGGCACUGUCAGCUGCGUCACACAGCUCUAAUCCAACGUUACCAAAAAUGCUGACAUAACGGUUUUUUAUUCUAUCUGAGCGACACGUGGCUGUGGUCCAGAAAGGAAGCUGCGUCACGCAGCUAACAGAUCCGUCACGUAGCCGUAAGCUGCGUGACGCAGCUACCUUUGCUGCCCUACAUACUAUAAAUUGAUCUUUUUCUCUCGUUUGAAAAAAAAAAAAGGGCUUUUGAAAAACACACUUUUGGCUACAUUUUUCUCCAGAGACUCUUCUGAGUUCAUUUGAAGAAAAAUUGCCAUUAGAUAUCAAUUUAGAUAAAAACAAAAUCAUAAAAAGAAAAAAAAUCAAGAGAGAAAAGAAUAAGUGUUUGAUUCUUUGGUGAUAAUGCUUCUGGGAGGCCUUAACUAUCAUUUGUUAAGGCAUUUAAGCCAUUUACAAUCCUCAAUCUGAGGGUUAGGUAAUUCCUUUACCCUUCUUUGUAUUUUUAUUUACUUUUGUGGUUUUAGUAGUUUAAGCUUCUUUAAACUGCAUUAUGCUCAUCUUUGGUCAUUUUAGGUUUUCUUAAAGCAUAUUUAGAUAAAAAAUGAUCUAAACAAAUUAUUUGAAAAAUAAGAUUAGGCCAGAGCAGUUGCGUCAUGCAACCAACGGACCCGUAACGGAUCUGGAAGAUGUGUGACGGAACUGUUCAUAUCCCAAAAUUUUAUUUCUAUACCCAGUGUUGGGCCAGAGCAGUUGCGUCACGGAACCAACGGAUCUGGAAGAUGCAUGACGGAGCUGUUCAUAUCCCAAAAUUUUAUUUCUAUACCCAGUGUUCGGCCAGAACAGUUGCAUCACGCAACCCACGGAUCCGUAACGGAUCUGGAAGAUGCUUGACGGAACUGUUCAUAUCCAAAAUUUUAUUUUUAUACCCAGUGUUCUAUUUUCCAGAUUACGGAUUUAAAAUAAGUUUCUAAUGGAUCUGGAGUUUUAGGGACAGAUCCAUCACGGAACUAACAAAUCCGUCACAGAACUAGAAGAUCUGUGACGCAGCUGUUCUAAGAUUCCAGAAAUAAUUUUUAUUUUUUUUAAAAAAAGUAUAAUAAAUUUUGCACAAAAUAAAGUUUAAUUUCUCCAAUAAAUCUGAAGAUGUCCAAUUAUGAACAGAUUGCAAUUUAAUUAAGUUUAGAGUACUAAAAUGUAAUUUUAUGUAUUUACUUGUAUGAAUUUUACAAUUUUAGGUUCAAUGAAAAAUGAAAUUAAAUUUAUGGGUUUGUUAGUAAUUUGCAUGUUUAGGAUUAAAUUAAAAAAAUAAAAUGUAAUUUAGGUGCUAAAUAAUAAAUGCAUGAUUUUGGUUUUUGGGUUUAAUUUUGAAUCGGGUAGAAUGCAUUUUAGGUUCGAUUUGUUGCUCGCCUUGAACCAUAAGGCAAGAGCGGCUCUUUUAUUUAUUCGAUUUAAUUGCUUUGGUUUAAAUGAUUAUAAAUGCGAUAAUUGGAUUUGAUUGGGAAGAUUAAGUAAUUUUCCAUAUAAAUGUAUUUUUCAUUGAUUUUGACCAAACCCAUGCUUAGAGAUAUGUUCAGAGGAAAUACAAAAUCUCUAGGACUACAUGGAUGUUAAAUGUAUUUUUCAUUGAUUUUGAUCUUUAUGACCUUUUUUUCGCCUUUUUUAUUAAUAAUAAGACUUGUUGCGUUUUAUACAUACAUGAGCAUGAAUAGUUUUUAUACAUUUACUGUUAUUGAUUUGUUAAAGGCAUGUUAGGCAGAUAUAUGAUUAACCUGCUCACAUGGAUAAUCAUCUUUAUUUAUCUAUAUGAUAAAUAAAGGUAAGACUGUUUUAAAGCAGAUUGUUUGACUGAUAAUGAGGAGAGCUUGUGCUUAAAAGCGAUCAAGUCAUCUCAUUGUGAGAAAUGAAAUAUACAAAACAUGAUGGUGUUAUGCAGCAAAAAAUAUUUAUAAGUACAUUGAAAUCUGUCUUAGUCACCAGAUGUGAGUUCUUAAGUGUAUUGCGUAGACUAGUGAACUCAAGUUAGGCAUUGAGUGUGUCUAAACUAUCAUUUGCCUAGUGUUGCUAAUUAAAUCUUUAUUUUAGUAGACAUGCCAUGUGUAAGGAGAAAGAAUAAUACUAUGACAUGUGCGAAAUGACGACCAAAUGAGUUGCCAAGGUAUACGAUCUCAACUUUGGCUGUGUGAAAUUCUUUGAGAAUAAUAGUUCUCUAAACUAGUAUCAUUAUGACUUUUGACUGAUUUUUAAAAUAUAAUACAGGGAUUACUAUCUGAGGGUUUUACCAAAAAAUCAUGAAUGAUGCGAUUGUAUUGGACACUUAUAGAGAAGCGAGUUGAACUAAGAUCGAGAAAAUUAAUUUGAAGGGAAGAUUAUUUUGCGGUCACAUUUAAGUUUUGUGUCACAGGUUGACCAAAUAUGUUAUGAGUAAACAUAAUUGUGAAUAUGAAAUAUGUUAUGAGGUCAAUGGUAACAAUAAAUGUGAUAAAUAAAGUGGAAGUAGUGCAUACUUUUCUACUUAAAAGAGUUUUUUUUCUCAUCGAGAUGCUAUAUAUCUCUAACAAGUAUAUAGCAAAGAACUCUCAAAGUAUGUUGGUCGCAUGAUCUAUCUACUGAGUAUGAAUGUCUAACUAUGGACCGGUCAAGUCUCGUCAUGUGUGAGUAGGAGAUGUUCGAAUUAAUGGACAGAUAUAGGUGCGUCCAUGACUAGCGUUUUAACCCAGAUCCAUUAAUAAUAAUUAAUGUGUUUAAUUAUUAAUAAUAUUUAAAUAAGUUUAAAUAUUAUCCUAAUUGGCUAUAAUAAAGAAGUUUGAGUCAUGGUAGGAUUACACGAAUCGGUGGUAAUCCAACUAUAACAAAAAGGCAAGAGAACACCUUCUCUGUUACACCUUUGACAAACAAACAGAAAAACUUUCUCUCGUUAUCUCUUUUUUCUCUCGUUUAUAUUGCUAAGACAAAAGGCUUUUAGACCGUGGACAAGGGAAGCAGUUUGUUAAUUUGUGAUUGCUUCUACGAUAAGCAAACUUGUAACAUAAAGUAAAAGGUUUUUUAUCCGCUACGCUACAAGAGGUAUGUAUUCAACCCACCCACUUUUACAUAUCAUGUAUAGGUAUACGAUAAUGUGAUUCUAACAAUCACUUUGAAAAUAUGUUCUUGAUAUUUGGCUUAAGAUUAAUCUAAAAUAAAUUUUUAGAUCAAUUUACCUUGCCUUAAAUUUUUUCUCAGAGUCAAAUAAUUCAAAAGAUGUAGUUCAUUAAAUGUCAAUUGCGUAUUGUCGUAUCACCAAACAAGAGUUGCUUUUUUGGACAUAACCUAUUUAUGGGUGAUUAACUGUUUAUGGCAGUAAUGUAAUUGGUGAUAUACAAUUAAAGUAACUAUACAUAGAUGUAUAGUGGUUUCAUAUAUUUUUUUUAGAAAUUAGUUGGUAAACAAUCUAAGGUCGAUUUUUUAUUUAUACUAUUUCCUAAUUUAUUUUAUGAAUGUUUCAUCUUUUAUUUUUCAUCAAUCAUGGAAAUUGGUUAUUUUAUAAAUGGUAUGUUCUUCAUACUCUUGCUGUUUUCUUCGAUUAUUUUUUAGGCCUCGAUGAAUUCUUCGAAUUGAAAUCAAUUCUAUGAAAUUAUGUCAAAUAAAUACUACCUAUCAAAAUCAAUUUAUUCAAUUUAUUUUAAUAAAUUCUAUACCUAUUAAUUGUUUUUUAUUUGUUAUCAAAUACAUUUAUAACCAUUUAUAUGCAAAUAAUUUAACACCAUACUUCUUUAUGGUUUUAUAUCCAAAACUCAAAUCUAUAUUCAUACUCUAUUUCUAAUUCAAAUUUGAUGCUCCGUUUGGUAUAAAUGAAUUCAAAAUAUGGAAUUCAUUUAUAAAUGAAUCCUAGUAGUAUUCAUUUGUGAAUGAAUUAUUGAUGUUUGGUAUGAUUAAUUUAAAACAUGUAAUUUAAUUGAAUUUCACAUAAUCAUGUAUGGAACAAAUUUAUAAUUGAAAAUUCAUUUAUUUUAUUUUCUAAAAUAUCCUUGAAAUAGUAAUUUUACAAAAAUAAAUAAUAAAUAUCAAUUAUAUUUAUGUUAUGAUAUCUAAUUUUUUAUAUUUUCAUUAAAAUAAAUAUAUAAAAUAAAAAUAAUAUUAAUAAAAUUGUUUCAUUUUAUUUAAUGGUAAAUAGAUAUUUAGCUUGAAUCUCUCUCAUAGACAAUAAAAAAAUGCUAAAAGAUAUUAAAAUAAAAGAUGAAAAAUAUUAAAAUAAAAACACAAUAAUAAGUUUCUUAAAAAAUAAAAUUUUUAAAAGGUUUUAGUCAAGUUUGAUAAAAUAAAUAAUUUAAAUAAUUAAAAAAUUGAAAAAUUGAUUUUGUAGAUAGAAAAUGAUAGUUUUAUCAUAAAAAAUUAGAUUGCUUAAUUCAUGGAAUUCAUUCGAAAAUUCCACUUAUUUUUGUGGGAUUUGGUGUAGUCGUGUCAAAUUGCAUGGAAUUGAAUUUUUAGAAUUGAAAUCUACAUUUUCUUUUUCAUUCCAAACACAAAAAUAUGGAUUUCUAAAUGAAUUUCAUAAAUUUUAUGGAAUUCAUUUGUUCCGAACAAGGGAUAAAUGUACGAUCUAUCUAAAUGGAAUAAAAUAAGAGAUAAGAGUAAAGGAAAAAAUCUAUCCAAUCAUUUUUAUUAUUGAUUUAAAGAUAAAAUUUAUUUUUAAAUAUUUUUUUUUAAAUUUAAUCAUAUAUUGUCAAUUGUAUAAUUUGAGGCAUAUUUUGAAUGAAUCAUAUUGAUUGAUAGAUUAUUCUGUUGCUUUACACUAUUAAUAUAGCUAGGGUACAUGUUUAUACAAGGUAAGAAAUAAAAGAUUAUUAUUUUCCUCCUAUAGUCAUUCCCUAAUUAUGUGCACUGAUUGGGAAAUGAUGGGAAAUCUGAUCCCACAUUUUCCUCUUAUUUCCUUUCUUGCUGACACUCCCCCUCAAGUUGAGUAGUGCGAUUGCCAAUGCUCAACUUCCCCAAAACUUCACCAAAGAUUCUUCCGUUCACUACCUUUGUUAAUAUAUCUGCUAGUUGAUCUUCAGAGUGUACGAAGGUUAGCUUUACACUGCCUGCGUCUAACUUCUCUUUUAUGAAUUGCCUGUCAACUUCCACUUGUUUUGUCCGAUCAUGCUGUACCAGAUUUUCUGAAAUACUGAUCGCUGCCUAGUUAUCACACAUUAUCUUGCAAGCCUCAGAUGGUGGGAACCCAAUUUCAGUUAACAAUUUUUGCAACCACAAUAUUUCAGUCAAAUCUCGUGCCACUCCUCGAAAUUCAGCCUCUGCACUGGACAGCGCUACAACUUUUUGCUUUUUGCUCCUCCAUGUGACUAAGUUACCUCCCACAAAAGUAAAAUAUCUUGAUGUGGACCUUCGGUCCACUGGAUUGCUUGCCCAAUCAGCGUCAGUAUAUCCCUGUAUUUCUAGGUGUCCAUGCGCUUUAAACAGAACACCAUGUCCAGAUGUUCCUUUGAGAUACCUUAUAAUCCUCCAUACAGCAUCCAUAUGGUCUGUUUGAGGUUGAUGCAUGAACUGGCUUACUACUCCGGCUGCAUAAGCUAUAUCUGGACGAGUAUGUGAGACAUAUAUCAAUUUUCCAACCAACCUUUGAUACUUCUCCUUAUUUGCUAGUUCUGCUCCUUCUACUAUCUUCAGCCCAUGAUUUACCACCAUUGGUGUGUCAGCCGGUUUACAAUCGAUCAUUCCUGUUUCUGCCAACAGAUCUAGAAUGUAUUUCUUCUGACAUAUAAAAAUCCCCCUUUUUGAUCUCAGAACCUCAAUUUCGAGAAAAUACUUCAGUCUUCCCAGGUCUUUCAUUUCAAAUUCUGUGAACACGUUUUCCCUUAGCUUGGUCAUUUCUUCCAUAUCAUCUCCUGUAAUGAUCAUGUCGUCAACAUAAAUGAUCAAGCAGGUUACAAGUUUACCUCUCCGCUUUAGGAACAAAGUGUGAUCAGAGUUGCUCUGUUUGAACCCAUAUCCAUUCAUUGCUUGUGUAAAUCUACCAAUCCAGGCUCUAGGUGACUGCUUCAGUCCAUAAAGCGAUUUUUUUAACCGACACGGCUCCCCUUUCUGGAAUUCCUCUGUGAAUCCUGGUGGAGCUUCCAUAUAAACCUCUUCUUUCAGGUCCCCAUGCAGAAAAGCAUUUUUCACAUCAAACUGAUGAAGUGGCCAUCCCUUGUUUGCUGCUAUCGAGAACAAUACCCUAAUAGUGUCAAUUUUUGCUACUGGUGAAAAAGUCUCUGAGUAAUCAAUACCAUAAGUCUAGGUAUAUCCUUUUGCCACUAACCGCGCCUUGUACCUUUCAAUGGAACCAUCUGGCUUAUGCUUUAUUGUAAAGACCCAGCGACACCCAAUUGGUUUCUUUCCUAUCGGUAAAGCACAUUUCUCCCAUGUGUGGUUCUGGAUUAAAGCAUUCAUUUCUUCUUUCAUUGUAUUGGUCCAUUUUUCUAAUGUCAAGGCAUGUUCUACUGUGGUCGGGACCUUUUCUUCACAUAUAGCUGAGAUAAAUGCCUUGGCUUCUCUGGAUAAACUCCCCCUGGCUAUGUUUGCUUCUGGGUAUCUAGACCUCCGAGAUUCUUUUUCUGGAGAGUAUCUGUUAGGUUGGAACUCCCCUAUUGCUUCUGGGUGGUAAUACAAAUCGUUCCUCCUGUUCUGCCACCUGUCCUGCGACAGUCUCACAGUCACUGGAAUUAGUAGAAAUAACAGGAGACUCGGGGGUUUCAGGUUCUCUUACCUCGGACACCAGGUUAGGAAUAGUAUUUUCUGAGACACUAGGCUCCGUAGACUGUAUGGACGUAUCUGAAGUUGACCCAACAAUACUGUUUCUUUCCUGUUCUCUGUUUCCUUCCUAUUCUGUAACUUGUGGGUUCUCUUCCUGAGGAUCCAAAUCCACAUGUGAGGCCACUGGUUCUCGAAGCCAGCUCAGUGUGUCCAUAUAUUCCUUCUCCCCUUGACCACUGAGUUGGGUGGUAUAAAAAUAUUCGGUUUGAAGGAAAUCACAAUUUAUUAUGGUGAACAUACGGCUGGUUUUAGGAUUAUAGCAUCGGUACCCUUUUCGAUUAACCCUGUACCCAACAAAUACACAUUUUUCGGCACACGAGUCAAAUUUAGAUCGUUCAUUUUUUGGAAUGUGAACAAAGACAGAAUAACCAAAAAUGUGUGGUUGAAGGGUUAAGGUCGGAGGAAUUUUGGUAAGUUGGGACAAGGUUUGAAGUGGAGUUUGAAGGUCAAGGAUUUUGGUUGGGAGUCUAUUUAGAAGAUAGGUGGCAGUAGCUACAGCUUCAAGCCAAAAGGUUUUAGGGACCCGAGACUCAAUAAGAAGAGCUCGAGUCAUUUCAAGGAGAAUCUGAUUUUUUCGUUCGGCAACACCAUUUUGUUCAGGAGUAUGAGGACAAGUAGUUUGAUGUACUAACCCUUUUUGUUGGAAAAAUUAUUUCAUGGCGGUGUUGACAAAUUCCCCCCCGUUGUCGGAUCUUAAAAUUUGAAUUGUCUUAGUAAAUUGGGUUUGGAUCAUAGUAUAAAACAAGAUAAAUUUAUCAACAACCUCUGACUUGUUUUUCAGAAAAUAUACCCAUGUCAUGCGAGUACAAUCAUCCACAAAUAUAAAAAAAUAACGAAAACCAUUUCCUCCCAUGACAGGUGCUGGACCCCACACAUCAAAAUGGACUAAUGAAAAAGGUAAAUCUACCCUAGUAUUAUUUGGCCUGAAAGUUUGUCUAUGGCUUUUCGCCAAAACACAAGUCUCACAGUGCAAAAUUUUAUUGGAUUUAAAGAGUUUAGGAAAUAAAAGAUGUAAAUAACCUGUGGAUGGAUGUCCUAAUCUCCGGUGCCAAAGCCAAGCUUCCGGAUCUGUAGUUCCAUGUGCUAGCAUCAUAGUACUAUGUUGGGCAACUUCAUCCACAUAGUACAACCCUUGGUGCUCAGUGCCACGUCCAAUAAUCAUUCCUGUCUUGAUGUCCUACAGUAUACAGAAAGUAGGUGUCAUUAGCAUGGUACAAUUAAGUUCUUUUGUUACAUGACUAAUAGACAGCAGUUUAGGUGAAAGUGAAGGGACAUAAAGAAAAUUUGAUAGUUUUAGUGUGGGUGAUAUGUCAAUAGACUCGGCCCCCUCUACAGAAACUAUUUCCCCAUUGGCUGCUCCGACAUGUGUCUUUGUGGGUUUGGAUUGUUUUUUAAUAUCGUUGGCAUCGAACGUCAUGGUGUCGGUGGCUGCACAAUCAAAAAUCCAUGAUGCAUUCUUACUUUUAUCAAAAUUUCGGACCAUAUUUGCAAUAGACAAAGAUUUUGGGUCAAUUUGUAAUAAUUCUAGGGCAGAAAUUAAUUAGGCCAAAUUAGAAGGACUUAGGAGAAAAUUUCCAACUCCUUUAUCCUUAUAACCCAUAUUACGACUUUCUUCAAUCCUAGACGCCAUAGCCUUUCCCACGCUGCCUCCUUCUUCGACGCUUCCUUGGCCACCAUCGUCGCUGUUGGUAGCCUCAGGGUUGCUCACGGCGAUGGCGGCUCUUCCUCCUGUGGCUUGGCUGUCCCUUUUGUGUCCAUCAUUCCACCAAUCGGGAUAUCCCACAAUCCGAAAGCAAUUUCUUUUGUGUGUUUGCUCAUCCCACAGUGGGUACACUUAAGUUUCGCCUUGUAGGAGCGGAAUGAUGAGCCGCUUGGUUUGCCGGUGGAGCCUGACCGUCGUUGUCCCUAUGCCGCCAUCCCAUGGCUUCAAUCCCUGUUGUGACUAACCCACUUCCUAUGCCUUGUUGUGACAAAAUGCCAGAGGCUGAUCCUAAAAUAUUGAGACGGGCCGCCUCUUUCCGAACAGUGGCGUAGGCGGGUUCCAGUGAGGGUAACGGAUCCUGUCUUAAAAUUUCUCUUUUUAUUUGAUUAUAUUCAUGAUCGAUUGCAUUCAGGAACUGGAACAAUUUUUGUUCUUGACGUAUUAUGUUAUAUGUGGCGAUAUCUGCUUCUGACGUCAUUGGGUUUGGUUCCCGCCGGUCGAUCUCGCCCCAUACUCCUUGCAUGGUAAUCCAGAAAUCUUCUAAAGGAGCUCCAUUUUGCUUCAUUCUGUUUGCCUUUGAAUGAAGAUCAAAGGUUUGUAACUUUUCCCUGCCACUGCUGUAUGUUGUAAUAAGGGCAUUCCAUAGUGCUCUUGCUGUGGGAAACUUGGUCAGAUUGCUUGCUAAUUGGGGUUCAAUAUUCUGGAUUAGCCAUGAGAACACAAUGAGAUCAUCUUGUUCCCAUUUUUUGUAUUUCUCGUCGCCGAUUUGUGGUGGCGCUGGAAUUCCAGUAAGGUGGCUUAACAAGGCCUUGGACUUCCCUUCAAUUGCAAGCUUAAUCAUACGUGCCCAUAACGCAUAAUUCUGGCUGUUCAAUUUAACACUGAUGAUUAAAUUAUAUGACAGGGUCUGGUUUUGGUUACUGAGGCCAUUUCUGAUAAGAUUUGCUAAUUGAAUUGUCAGGUCAUCGGUGCUGAUGCCAGACUGUUUCUCCAAGUUGCCGUCUUCGGACAUGGUGGCCGGAGUCUUAUGGGUUGGUACACUAGUGGCUGACGAGGAGUUGCCGUCGUCAGACAUGGUGACUAGAUUUCUGUCGGUAAGUUGGUAUGUGAUGAGCGAUUGAAAUUAUUUGAUCCAAGGAUCAUUGAACCUGCUCUGAUACCAUGUCAAUUGUAUAAUUUGAGGCAUAUUUUGAAUGAAUCGUAUUGAUUGAUAGAUUAUUAUGUUGCUUUACACUGUUAAUAUAGCUAGGGUACAUGUUUAUACAAGGUGAGAAAUAAAAGAUGAUUAUUUUCCUCCUAUAGUCAUUCCCCAAUUAUGUGCACUGAUUGGGAAAUGAUGGGAAAUCUGAUCCCACAUUUUCCUCUUAUUUCCUUUCUUGCUGACAUAUAUAUCUAUUUACGUUAAUAUUUAUUUAUACUUUUAAAAUCUAAUAUUUCCAUUUUCAAACUUUUGAUUUUUUAUCUUUUUACUAUAAAUCCUGAUACUUUUUCAUAAAAUACUAUAAAUUUAUUUUUUCCUUUUAUACAAAUAUUUAGAUUUUUUUAACUUAUUUUUUGAAAUUGUUUAUAUGAUGAUUCCUUUAAAAUGUUUCUUAAUAAUAAUUAAGUAAUACAUAUUUAAAAAUAAUUAAUUUUUUUAUGAUGUACAUUGCAAGUUCACUAUACUCGUUAUUCGUCCUCCUUCAAUUUUUUAACUCGCUAUUUCUAAAUUUUAUAUUUUAUUUUUUAAAUUUAUUUUUUAAAAAAUAUAUCCACUUAAAUUAUAUAAAUAUAAAGAAAACAAAUAGUAUUAUAAAAAAUACUUGUUUCUUUUUUAUCUCUCCUAAAUAAAAUAUUUAAAUUAUAAUAAAAACAGAAUCAAAUAUUUAAAAAAUAAAUUUGAAAAUAAAAUAUAAAACAAUUUCUAUGUCUCAUUAUCACAUAUAUUUAUUAAAAAAAUUAGAAAAGAUAAAACUUAAAAUUUCAAAAAAAAAUUUAAAAUGUUUAAUUAUCAAUACAUAUUUAUUUAAAAAAUAAUUUUAAUAAAUAUAUCCAAGUAAGAUUAUUUUAGAAUAUUCAUAUUUCAUAAAUUGCACUUUAUCAAAAAUCACAUUAUUCUCCUAUUCUCAUAUUUUGCCAGGCUGUAUAUACAUUUACCACUAGAUUAUGUCUUGGUGUGCCUAUUCUAAUAUUUAUAUAUAGCAUAGGUUAUCAAAAACUAAUCAUGAUAAGUAAGUUAAGUAAUACAAAUAAUAUAACAAUUCCCUUCUGCUAAUAAGAGUCAUGAGUUUCCAUCAAAAAUACACUGCUGCGUUGUUAUUCUUUUUUCUUCUUCUUCUCCUUCUUUCCGCAGCCUCUUCCCUUAAUUUUAAACAUGGGGUAAGACCUAAUUAAUUUACCUCUGUUAUCUUUAGUUUGCUUUAUGGCUAAUGAAAUUUUUUUUUUUUCUUUUUUCAGAGUUUGCUGUUUGAGAAGAAAGCAAUAUUAGAUUCAACACCCCCGAGUUGCCAAGACAAGUGCCAUGGAUGCCAGCCAUGUCGUGCGGUUCAAGUGCCUGAACCGAAUCCUCCUCCAGGUCCAAUUGAAAAUCCAGGUUAUAUUGGAGAUCCAGGUUAUAAGCCAAUCGUUUGGAAGUGUAAAUGUGGUGGAAAAUUUUAUGGGCGUGAUGCAUAAAUUUGCCCCUGAAAUUCAUAUGAUUUGUCUCAUGGCACCUCAAAUUUGUAAGACUUAUCAUGAUCCUACACUUUGAUAUUUCCGUAAUAACUAUAACUUUCGCCAAAAUAAAAUGUAAAAGUCCAACUCUAACAAUUCAUUUUAGCGAAAGACAUAAUUAUUAUUAAAAUGUUAAAGUAUAGGGUCAUGAUAGGUCCCCACAAAUUUGAGGGAGAAAUUUCAAGCGCAAAUCUAUGCAUUUGACCAAAUUUUAUUAUAGUCAAUGAUCUUAGUUCUAAGGUGCCUAUAAUAUGAAGUUAAUGAAAUUCUGAGGCUAAAUAUAAUCUUAAAAACAAAAAUUUAGCCUCUACGAAUAAUUAAUUAAUGUUUAUUAUUAUUUUAAAUUAAUAGAAUAGAAUCUGGUGUGCUUGUUUUGUCUUAAUUAUUUUCUUGGUUGGCCCAUUUUCAAGUUUCGAAUUUUUUUUAAGUAUUGAAGGUGGAGAUUCGAACCUGAAUUUAUUGGCAGAUCGUAUAUUCAUUUGCCACAAAUUAACAAUCUCUAUCAAAUUAACAAAAGAUCAUAAAUUCAAUAUCAUUGUGAGUAAUAAUUGGAUGGAUUAUACUUGUUUAGAUUGGGUCUAUCAUUUCAUGUAUGAAUCAAACCAAUGAAAAUAAGAAUUUUUUAAAAAUGAUUUCUAUUUUAUCUUUUUUUUUUUCAGUAUAGAGUCAGAAAUAUUUUUGUCUCAAUAAAAAUUCAUAUUUAUAUUUUUGUAAUCGAUUAAUUAAUAGCUACGUAAAUGUAUUGAGAAUUAACAAGACUUAAUAGGAGGUGGUUAGCAGAUGAAAUCAAGUAACUACUCACACAAUGCCAAAUGGAAAGAAGUUACUUAAGCUAUUGUUUGGACAGUUGAGAUGUCAUGCAUGUUAAGUGAUAAUCGCUGGGUGCCUUAUAAAGCCAAGCUUAAACAUCAGAAUAGCCCCCAACAAUCAACUCCAAAAAUCAAAAUCAAGAACAAUUCAACUACAAUCAAAUAACAAUUACAAUUUCAAUUUUAUUUAUGUUUGUUGUAAUUUCUUUUUCUAAGUAUUUUCAAUUUGUCUUUGCAAUUCCAAUUUUUGUCAAUAUAGUAUUUUUAAUUCAAACAAUCUCAUUAUUUACAAAGCUUUUUGCAAUCGUUAUUUUUCAAGCACUAUCAAUUAAUUUCCAGCCUUCGGUGAAGCGUUUAUCAUAAAGACAAACCCUUCAGUCUUAUGAUUAAGAAGUAUAGGUAUAGCAAUUUUUCCUGUAGUUGAUAAACUUUAAUACCAGGCACGCUCAAGUUGUUAGUCAGUCGUUUAUUGCUUUGAUCCAAUAACUUACAUUAUAUAUAUAUAUAUAUAUAUAUAUAACAAAUAAUUUAUUAAUCAUCGACAUGUAAGGCAUUCUAGUGUUCUUUCUCUUAUUCGAGAACUCUUAAGCCGUUCUGGACAACAGGGGCGGAGCUCCCUUGGGGACUAAGGGGGCCGUGCGCCUCCAAAUUUUUUUUUUUUUUUUAAAUUUUAUGAAAAUGAUGUUUUAAUCCUUAAAAAUAUUAAAAAAAAUUACAUUUAGCCUCCCUGAAAGUUUAAAAAAAUUACAUUUAUAUCUUCCAAAAUAAUUGUUCUAGUUCCGCUCUGCUUGACAAACCAAGCUUUGUAAAUAAUAUAUAAUGUAAAAUACAGAUCAAGCUUUCUCUUAAGAGUAGUCUCGUAACAAAUAAAGAAUGUAUAAUAUAAAAUAUAUAUUUAGUGCAAUUAAUUGAAAAAUAUUGCAAUACAAGAUAGCCAAAUACCUAAAAUUCUUAUAAAGAAUGUCCCUAAAUAUAUUUAAACAAUAUAUAAUAUAGAAAACAUAUAUUAAUAUUAUUAUAUACAUAAUAGAGAAAGUGAAAAAUUGACAAAGGAAGGGAAAAUAAUGGAAGGAAAGAACUAGGUUCCCCACUACAAGGAACAUAAAUUCCUAUUUAGGGUAAAAUCCAAGCAAGUAGUCAACUCAUCCAUCCCCCACCCACCUUACAAUAAUAAUUGUUCUUCAUCUUCGCUUUUAUUUUAUUUAUUUAUUGAAAAAUUUUCCUUCAACAUCUCUAUAAUUAGAUUUUUAAAUACUAUUAAAAACUAUAAAUAGAAAAAUGAUGGUCGUAAUUAUUGAAGUGUAUUGAUAUAUUUAUAAUUAGUAUUAUGUAUAAUAAUAAAUUAAAAUACAUAAUGUGCGACUCUUCAUCUAAUUAAAAUUAAAUUUAUUGUGGAACAUGACCUUUUGAUAUCAUAUUGAAUACUUGCUUUACCGGUUUCACCUCUUUGGCCUUCCUGCUUUCAUGGUCGUGGUCUAAAGAGAAGAUCCUCUUCUAUUGGCUUUAAAAUAUCUCUAACUGCAAUGCAACGCUAAGGGAAACACUUGAAUGAUAUGACAAUACAUAACUUAAUAUUUACGAAACAAUAAUAUUAAUCAAUAUUUAUUGAAUUAAAUUAAUGCUAAAAAUAAACAUCAUUAAAAUAUUUAUUUUAAAUUAAUAAAUAUUAAUUGAAUUUAGUUAAAAAAAAUUUAUAUAAUUGAUAUGGCUAAACUUAUUAAAAAAAAAAAAAGUAAUUAUGUUAUGAUAUUAUGGGCUGGUUAUAUAAAAAUAACAUAUAUGCACAUUGAGAAAACAUCCAUAAACAAAUUAGCAUGAAUCUUAUUUACACUGAAACUUAAAUCUCACAUCCAUAUUUUCGAAAUUAUACACACAAAAAAGAGAGAAUUGAGAAAACCCAAUUUAUUUAAUACAUUGGAAAAAUGAUACAUGAUAAAGACAAGCACUUCAACCAUGUCCGAAAAUCCUGAAGAAAAAUACGUCACAUGUACUUAAGACCAUACUUCAACACUUGUGCAUCAUUGAACUCAAUAGUAAAUGUCAAUUUUUGUUCCUCAAUGCAGAAAGAUCAAUACCAGUACUUCAUUUUUCUAUUAAAGACGCCUGGUCCAUAUGUAGAAAUGAAAAUCUCAACGAGAAGGGGAAAUUGUAAUAAUAUAAAAAGGGUAACAGGUAUACUAGCCAAAAGAGUGAUUGGAAGGACAAGUUUUAAUUCUCUUUGUAGCACUAUCAUAAGAAUCGAGCAAAAGGCUACCAUCAUAGUUGAAAUUGAAAGGAAGAGAGCAGAAAGACCAAUAAUCAACUUUGUAGGCAAAGAUUUGAGAAAAUCAUCUUCUGAAUAGCGCGAUGUAAGGACUCCUAAGAACAUCAAUACUGAUGUUGAGAAGGCAAAAAGAGAAAUUGUAUCAGAUAUUAUAAAUAUUGUAAAUUCUAUUUGAUGUGAAAAUAUUGGAUCACCAGUUUCUUGAUCAUUGCUUUCAACGGUAACUGCGAAUGAUGCACUGAACAUUAGAGUAAUGAUGAGAGCACCUACGACUGUGCAAGAUGUUGCUUUUUCCUUCAUCCAUUUCUCUCCAUCUAUCACCAAUUGUUGAUGGGUUUCAGAAAAUAUCUUAUUAGCAUUGUCACCAUCUAUGUUGGUGUAUUCUUUAGACAAAGGAUCCACAAUACUUUCUACUUCCUGCAUUGAAAGCAAUGAUCUAAGUGGAAUUAAUGUUUAAAAAACACUUAUGAUAAUAAGUUCCCACCCUAAUAUUUAUUUGAAAAUAUCUAUAUCACAUAAAAAUUAAAUUUUAUGUUGUUAAACAUAAUUUUCAAAGAAAUAUUAUUGAAAAUUUUUAAACUUCAAAAUUAAUUUGACACAUAUACACACGUUGAAAUAGAUAAGUAUUUCAAACUAUUUAGCGUGAUUAAAUCAUAAAAUAAUAGAUCAAAAUUUUGCCAUGUACCCAACAAAAAGACUCUCGAAAACCAAAAGUUGUAAAGGAUAGGAAAACAUGAUUUCAUAUUCAAAACCUUAAUUGUUUAGAUGAUUGAUUUUAAUUCAGAAUAGAUCCUUUUAACUAUAUAGUCUUCUUCAAAUGAAUCAAAUGACUUUAUGCUUAUUACCUAUAAUACAAUGGAUCUUCAAUAAAAAAAACAAGUACAAAGUGUACUAAGAGAUAUUACUCAAAUAAAAGGCAUGAGAACUUGAUCUUGUUGAUGUGAACACAAAAUACACAUAGCCUUGUGCUAUUUCCACAGGUUUUAUAGUAUUCUAAUAGCUAUUUUUUAUAUUUUAGGCCUUCAUUUUGAUGGAUUUCUUUAUUGGAUAUCUCUUUAUUGGGUAUUCACAGGCCUUGUGCUAUUGUCUUAAUCUUUUUAUUUAGGUGAAAAAUGGUGCUAAAAGGUAAGGAAAAGCCUAAAAAGUAGCUGAUCUUCCGUGACGUACAAUCUCUCAAUCCAUAUGGUCGUCGCACGAAUGCCCAUGCACAUGGGCGUAGAAGAUGUAGAUCCCUAAGUUACCUACCACACAAUUGUCUAUAAGGGUGUAUAAACACACUCCAAAAGUAAACUAUUAAUAAAAUUAUCAUUCAUUAAGUUGUUCGUGAGCACUAGAGAGACAUAGAUUCAAAUAACUAUUUGAAUACUCUUGUGAGUAGGCAUUCUAGCCUAGAUGAAGUAGGCCCAAGCCCUGAAUACAUGGCUAAGCAAACACUCGUUGCCCUUAACCAUGUAAGAGGUGCUUGAGAUCUUGCUAAGGAACAAUAAAGGUGAGGUAAAGUGUUUAUUUUUUCAAUUAGCUGGCAUUAUUGACUCUAAUGAAGCUGAACCAAGAUCAAUUUCCAGGGUUCUAGAAUUAUUUUCUCAAUCUCAUUUCAAUCUCUCACCUUUAAUUAUUGAAUUUGAUUCAAAAUCUGCCGUGUGUUGAAUUUGAAAUAAAGAAAAAAGACCUUGGAGGUAGAGAUUAUUGUUCAAUAUAUUUGAUAGCUUAUGUAGAUAUUUAUGUUCGAUUCAAUUCUUAUAUAUAUAUGUAGAGAACAUAAUUAUUUUGAAGAUUCAUUGGCUAAAAAGGGAGUUGAAACACAUGGAGAUUUCCUUGCUUGGUUAUAAUACUAGAAAGAAUAAUGUGGAAAUCUUUUCGACUACAAUUUCUCAAUAUGUUUGAUUGUGAAGACACUUUGCUGUAGCUAGAUUGUACCUACAUCGAGUUUUGUAUUUUUUUAUUAUUAUGACAAUUUAGUUAUUAGUUGUGUUAAGAGUUUUGAUUAGUUUCUGAUGUUUUCCAAUUUGGUGUUUAUGAUAUUUUGACCAGGUUUUUCUACUUAAGUUAUCAAGGUUAAGAUGACUGUAAAUGGGAGACUUAAUGACUUAGGAUAAUACUUAGAUAAAAUAAGUUUUUUCUGGAUAAUAUAAUUUAAUAAAAAUUAUUUUGCUGAUAAAGAAAAAGGGGUCCUUGAGAUCUAGUGAUGCAAAUAACCAAUAAGACAGCCAAAACAAUAGUAUAGGAUUAGAAUAAAGAACUAUUAGCAGACUUAAAAUGAUUUACUAAUCGUCAUUCAUCGAGCCACUUAUCCCAACCUAAAAUAUUUUAGAAACCUUAAAGAUUGCUUAAAUACUUAUGCAUGUACACAUGCAUCAUUAAAACAUGAGGACAAGCAUUGAAUUUCAUGUUAAUUCUUAUAUAUCCAACUCAGCUCUUGAUUUACAUAAGGAAAAAGAAAGAGAAUAAUUGAUAGACUACCCUUUAUGCAUCACAUCAAACAGAGGAACCUUUAACCUAAAAGAUAACAAAAGAAGAAGAGCAAUACUCCUAUACCUAGACGAACUUCACCAACUUUAUUAUAUGAGAUAUAAUAGCUCUAAAUCAUUACUUGAGUUUUCUUUCACCCUUCUCUUUCCAUUUUAUAUUGUAUUUAUCUAGGUUUUUUUUAUAGGUUUCUUGUUUAUAUCAUAGGUUCUUGUGAAUAUUAUUAUGAGCUUUAAGGCCUCUUAUCUCUCUAUAAAUAUCUACACGUAUAAUAGGAGAAGGCAUAAAAAACAUUGGAAACCUUUUCUCCUAUAAAAUUUGCCUUGUAUCUUUGUAAUCCUUGAUAGAAUAGAAGGAUUGUACGAAGAAGUUAGGAAGUGUGAAGUUAAGAUAAUAGAGUGUGAAGAGCAAAUUGCCAAGAUAUGUCUUGCUUCUAAUAAACUCAAGUUUGUUGUAAGAUUAAUAUUAUUUUAUUAAGUCAUAUAUUGAAUCUACUGUGCGGAAGUUAUGUUUAAUUAAUCUUACCAACCUAGUUGAAAUAAGAAGAUUUAGACAAGAAUUAGUUGAAACUGGUAAUGAAAUCUUUAAAACUCACUUAGAAACAUAUAACUUCCACUAUGACUGUCGUGAGUCUGAAAGAACUUUAGGAUUGUUUAAUACAAUAAUAAGAUACUUAAACCAGCUGCUUCAUUCAUAGCAUCUUAGAGUUUCAUUCUUCUUCUUUUAAUGGUAUCAGAGCCUAGUUACUAAAUAUUUUACCUAAAUCUUUGGUGAAACCCCAAGUUGCGUUUCUGUUAUUGCCAUUUAAGCCAUUUAUAGGCGUCUAAAGGUUGAGAAGUAAAGCAUUGACAGUGAUCCAAAGAAAUGGAUAAAUUAUUUGGAAACUUAUCUAGUCUUUCUAGGAGUACAAGAUUUAAAUCAAGCCAAAGCAACGAAAAUUUUAAAAAUAAAAAAUAAAGAAAUAUUAUUAUUAGAAGAUAUAGAAACUAGUUUAAAUAUUGAAAAUUACCUACUAUGUUCUCCAAUAUGAAAUACAAUUCUAAUACUAACUUCUUGUUUAAAGCUGAUUAUGUGAUUAAAACAAUUGAGGAAGCUGUGCCUAUUCAUGAAGGAUUUCAAUACUUUAGUAUGUUUUCUGAAGAAUUAAUAGCAAGGCAUCAAGAAAAAUAUAAUUUCCUCCAUAUUGGAAUGGUUCAAGUGGCUUUGAAGCAAGCAACCAGGUUAGGGCUAAAUAAUGCAGCCAUAAUUUGUGUUAGAGAUAAACGACAUAAUAGAUUUAACGAAUCCCUUCUUGGACUAGUUGAAUCUACUUCAUGUGACAGACCCAUCUACUUCUCCUAUUAUCCGAACUUCACCCUUUCCCUAACGGAUCCACAUAUAAUGAAAGCCCUUUCUCUUGACAUCAAAACUUUUGGUCAUGAUAUGCUUCAAAGGUUAGAAAAUAUAAUCGUAAUUUAGAGGAUUCAUUAUAAAGCUAUGAAUAUUGUUAUCCCUAAUUUAAGGGAAGCAACAACAAACCCAAUAACCCCAAAAGGAACUACCAUACUCUUCCUCACGAAUCUCUCAAAAGGAAACUUGGUAGUCUCGAGGUCCAUUCAGUGGGAUCAGGUAAACUUACUUGAAAAUUGGAUAUUAGAAGAGGUUGUACCUACUAGAAAGGAAGAUUCUACCGAAGUAAAAUAUAUAGUGAAGGCCCCAGAUGGUACAAUGGCAAUAACAUUCUCUAGGGAUAGAAGAGUUAAUAUAGGCCACAAGAAAUCAUUUUCAGGAAUCCCUAGCAUUCCUUAUUCGGUUCCACCAAGAACAUUGGUUUCUUCAAAUUCAGUUAGUGGCCUAAACAGAAUAGAAGAAAAUGUAGCUCAACCAAUUUAUGAGGCUAAAAGUCCAACUCCUUCAGAUAUGGGCUAUGAUAGAGAAAGCAUAGUGACAAGGCCAUUUAAAAUAAUGGUCCUUCAAAAGGAAUCAUCUCCAUUUGAAAAAUGGUUCUAGAUGAGCCUAAAAGAUAAUGAGCAGGCUUAUUGGCUAAAAGAAUACAAAGCCUACCAAGUCCUAAAAGGGACUAAAACUUUUCUUGAAUUCUUACCACAUGCUUUCUUCCUAAAAGGAAGAACAUUCCCAAAUUUCGAAAAUAAAACUUUUCUCACCAACCUUGAGUCUGCCUAUCAAAAUUUCAUUACUCCUAAAGAAAAAAUUAUCGGGAGUGUUUACCUCCUCUAACAAGUCUUUCAUAUCAAAUAGAGCAGUCCUAUGUAGAGUGUUCACUUUUUUCCCGAGGGAAGAGAAAGAGGGAUCAAUGAUAAAUAUGCUUCAUCAAUAAUACUUUGUAAAUCUAAACCUCCAUACUAUUGGGCAAAAACUAAAGACAGUGGAUAAUCAGCUAAAUAGGUUGAAGGCGGUAGGGUAUACCCCUAAAAUUGAGGCCGCAAUAAAAAUAGGAAACACAGAAAAGAAAAUCCUAUUUAAACCUAUGGAAGAAAAACUUAAUCUAAAACUGGCUAAAGAAGAUAAGUCAGAAUUAAUUGAAGAGUUAAUCAAAAGGUUAGCAGGCUUAGAAAUAGACUAAGAGAAAAAGGCUAUAGCUCCUUUAAAACUGGAGUAAGAGUCAAAUAAAGAACUAUCUGGCUUAUAAUCACCUAAAGAAACAUGUGAAGAUUAUCUAGAAGAACUAGAGGCUAUGCUAAAAUCAGCAGAUACAAAUCAGGAAAAUAAAAUAACCUACCCAAAGCCUUAGGUCGUGGUAGAAAUGAACGUUAUUACCUUAGGUCCUCUCUAAUCAAUAUGCAAUAUGAAGAACCUGCAUUUAAUUAUGUCUAAUAUGAUGGUUCUUCUAUUGUUGAGUGGAAUAUUGAUGGACUAUCCGAAUAUCAGAUAAGGAAUGUCCUUCAACACAUGACUAUGUAUACUACGGCAUCCAAAGUAAGAGGAAAUUUAGACCCAAUGGUAGCAAAAGCUAUAGUUGCUGGAUUUAUAGGCAAGCAAAGGGUGGUGUGAUUUUUCUCUAUCUAAAGAAGGAAAAGACUAGAUAGAAGGAGCUGUGAAACGGAAAGUAGUGAGAAGGCUAGGAUAUAAACUGGAAAGUAAUUUGUUGUCCUUCUAUCUCUAUAGUUAUCCCUUGUUUCGAUAUUUCUUGUAUCAGAUACAACAUAUGUAGAAAGGGAUUUCCUGGAAUGAUAGGAUGGGAUAAUCCUUUUACCAUUAAGAAUGGUAUUUGAAAACGUAUCCUUUAUUGCAAAGAACAGUAUUGUUCAAUUUGCAUUUUAUCGCUAUUUUACUACUAUCUGCCGUAUUUAAUUCCUCUACAGUUUUAGAGAAAUAUCUAGAAGGUACUAAUCCCUCAUUUAUGCAAUUUAGAUCCGCACCUGAAUCAAUUAGGGUGAUGGUAUGAAAGACAUUCUUUAAGGACCACUAUAGUAACUUUAGUGUGCCAUUUAUGGGUUAUUACCACAUCAACCAGAUUGACAUAAUGAAGAUUAUUUACUUCACCUUCAUUCAAAGGAUAUCUUUUUGAUCUUUCUAGAUCAAUUUCAUCUUUCUAGUUCUAACAUUACUAUUCUUUCUUUUAGGCUUUGCAACUCUAACAUUACUAACAUUACAAUUCUUUCCUUCUUUUAGUUCUAACAUUACUAUUCUUUCUUUUAGACUUUGCAACUCUAUUUUUACAGGGUCUAGUUCUGCUCUUAAUUCUUUUAUGGUGGGUUCUCGCUGCCUUUUAACAUUUUUCACCGUUUCUAAAAUUUCUUAUAAAUUAUAGGGUGUUUCCCUCUCUUCCAUUUUCUAUUCAAGGGGUUCUUUAGAGGUAGAUGCCUCUAAUCUUUCUUUAUUUAGAUUUAACUAGUGUUCUAAAUGGGCUCUUUUUUCUUCUGGACCUGUUAUUUUAUCUAUUAGAUCUAAUAGCAUGUUAUCUUCUUUGGUUAGUGCCAAAAGCCCGUUCAUGGCACAUACUGAUUUGUAGUAAUCAUAGUUGCCAUCACAAUCCGAGUUUUUAUCGAACUCGUAUUCCUUGUCUGUAAUUAAGCAAUAAGUAUACAUAAACCAAUAAGUACCUAGGUUAUUAGUAAGUUGAUAUAAGCAAGUUAGGAAACAUCACCUUAUACCAUUGUAGCUCUCUUUGCAUCUGCAACGCUGCACCUGAGAUGCCAGCAAGUCUAUCAGGAUGUGAUAACUUUCCAGCCAGAUGUAAAAUGUUAUUUUCAAAUUUAUCGGCUCCAUUAAUUAAAAUGUACUUCCUCGUACCAAGCGCAUAUAUAAUGCUAAAAACAUUUUCUCGCCGAUAAUGAACUGCAUUCAUAAGUAAGUUUCUUGAUUUUUUGUCGACAACAGUUAGCAGAUUGGAAUUGGCUUUAAGCAACUCAAUUACAACUUCAACUACUCCAUAUUUAAUAGCUCCAAAGAAUGCAUCAUAUAUUCCAUUUUCUUCAAAUUUAGUGUCGUCAAUAGAAGAUGAUAUGUGUUUGGCCAUCAAGUGCAGAAGUUCACGAGCAUAGGCAUGGCUCAAUUUUCUAUCAUAAAUCUGCUUCAGACCUAAACAAACCAAAAAUUGAGGAACUUAAUAUAUUAAUCGAAUUUAAAUUGAUAAUGUUUUUACUUAUAGAUAAAUUUUGAAGUGUACAAUUGGUUUAUAAAUAAUAGUAUUAUGCUUACUUAUAUAUAAAUUUAGAUAAACCAAAAAACAAAUAGCUAGCGAUAAAAAUUAGGAGUAGCAUACCAAAAAAUUCUAGUAACUUCAAACUGAGACUUGGCAUUUCAACCAUCCCUGAAAAAUGAAAACAACUCCGUUAAACAAUGAAAGCAACAAUUUUUAAAAAAGGGAAAAAAAUUCAACUUUUGUUGCUUGGCAAAGCUCCAUACAAUGUACAUAUAUAUAAACUACUACUUAAAGAUAGCUUCCUUUGAAUUCCUUUGAAGUUUGAACACCUUAAUUAUUUAUUUUUUGAAAGACUAGUCAUGUACCCAUGUGAUGCAUGAACUGUGUAAUUUUUUUAAUUUUUUCAAUUAAAUUGAAUGUAAUUUUCAAGAAAAUUAUUGUCAUUUAUGUUUGUGUUGUUUUAAUUUAAAUAAUUUGCUUAUUUAUUUUUAAUUAAAAAAUGAAAAAUAAGAUUAUAGUUUUUUUAAAAUUCUCAAAUAAUGAACUGAAAGAUUAAUUAGCAUAAUUAAUUAUUGUAAGUAAAUUAUUGUAAUUCAAAUGAUACAGUAAAUUAAUUAUUUUUUUCUUUAAAAUUCUCAUAUAUUCAAAUUAGAUGAGGUAUAAGAAUAAUUGAUGUUAAUGAAAUAAAUUUUAGUGAAUUGAAAUUAAUAUUUUAAUUCUAUUUAUUAAUGUAGUUGCAUUAUUUAAUUAAUUUUUAUUAACUAUGACUCUAUUAUAACUCCAUUAAUUUUUUUAUUGAAAAAAACUAUUUAAUAAAAACUUAAUAUUUAUUAAAUGUAAAAAAAUAUUAAUAAUAAUCAAAAUCAUCUAAGUUUGUAACUCCAUUAUUUAAUAGAAAAUUUUAAUUUUUAUUAAAUGCAAAAAGAUGUUAAUUAUAAAGAAAAAGUAAAAUGCCACAUAAAUAUUUAUAUUUUAGAAAUUACAUUUAUAGAUAUAGAUAGAUAUAGAUAGAUAUAUUGCCACAUCAUCAAUUGUACUUUUGAUGACAUUUUUAGAUUGGUUAAUUUGAAUAUACUACAUUGGUUUUGUUAAUGUUGACACUUUUUGACUUUUUCUUCUUCUAUUUAGAUGAUAGUUCUAGAAAAUCAAUAUGGUAUUAAUUGUUUUAUUUCAACUUUCCUCUUGUUUAGCUAAUUCAAUUUUUUUUUUAAUUUCUGUGAACAGUCAACAAAAAAUAUGAAAAUUAACAAAAUAAAUAUAAUAACACAUCAACAGAAUAUUGUUUACUGUCUUCAUUACAUUAAAUUUGAUAGUUUUUUACUUUUUAUGAGAAUUAAAAAACUGUCAGUUUUAAUGAAAUCGAUGGAGUAAUUGUUUCCUCGUAGGCUUUAAUUAUAAGCUUUGAGUCGCAAUAAUUUAAAGACCGGUAAUAGUACUUUGAACCAAAAGCUCUUCGAUAAAUUAUGGUUUAUCUCAUAAUUUGGUGUUUCUUUUAGAGUGAGAGAGGUGUACACCUUGCCUGACAUGAUCAUCAUUCUCUGGAAUGGCAAUUCGAACAUCACCAGGGGUAGGGCCAGCAGGUAAUUCCCCAGGAAUACCUUCCAUAAAUCUGAAAAAUAUCAAUUACAUGAAAUAAUUAUUAUAUUUAUUUAGAAAUUCAAUCCGAAACUAAGAUUUUAAAUUCAAAAACUACAAUCUUUAAACAAUUUUGCAAUUAGUCUGAAAGAAUAAACGACGAGAAAGCAAAAUAACUGAAAAAAAAAAAAAAAAAAAGGGUUCACCUGAAUUCCCCCCAAGGAAUUAACAGGAAUAUAUGCAUCGUUUCCAAAAGACAUAUCGGUUGCCGCUCGGGAACAAAUGACUCAGACCAGAAAAUUGGUCUAGCGGUGUGUUUCCAAGUUGUGUUCGUGUCGUGGCUAAGCUUGGGCCACGCUGCAGCAAAUCCAAGGAUAUAUCUAACACAAAUAAAAAGAUUUAAAUGAAGGUUUAUAAUAAGAAAAUGAAAUUUUAGUUUGCUUCGAACUCUUACUUACCAAACAUUUCUCUGAAAAAUGAGACUACAAGAAGAGAAGAGCCGAAGUUUCCAUUUUCCGGAAGCAGUAUAUCAAAAGGAGUGACAGAAUAUAAAUACUGAGUUGUUUCCUUAUGGCCAUUAUUACAUGCCACUGUUACUGGGAGAUCAUCGUCUGCAAUAGUAACUAAAUCCAUGGUCUUUUUCAGCAUGCAUUCAGCAAUUUUUGUUGCUCCAGUAGCAGCAGCGCCAAUAAGAGCAGUCUCAUUCCGCUUAUCAACCGCAAGUACGUCUUCUACUGACAUUAACUCCACCAAAAACUCCACAAUAUUUAAGUUUCCAGUCAUUGUUGCAAGAUGAAGCGCUGUUUCACCAAAACCUGUAACCUUUCUGUGCACUGCAUCUGGGCAAAGAUUAACGAAGGUUUUCACAGCAUUAAAAUCACCUUUAUCUAUAGCCUCUCGUAAUGGCUGAAACUGAAGGUACUCGUCCUUCUCUGUUCCUGUCAUAUUUUAUCAACUUAUUAUACCUCUCGUUCCAUUAAACACUUU